CCGGGAAUCUUGCGCAAUGGGCGAAAGCCUGACGCAGCAACGCCGCGUGAGCGAAGAAGGCCUUCGGGUCGUAAAGCUCUGUUGUUGGGGACGAAGGGCGAAGGGUUAAUAGCCCCUAGCCUGACGGUACCCUCCGAGAAAGCCCCGGCCAACAACGUGCCAGCAGCCGCGGUAACACGUAGGGGGCUAGCGUUGUCCGGAAUUAAUGGGCGUAAAGGGCGCGCAGGCGGCCCGGUAAGUCUGCUGCGAAAUCCUGGGGCUCAACCCAGGCUUGCAGUGGAUACUGCCGGGCUAGAGGACGGUAGAGGCGAGUGGAAUUCCCGGUGUAGCGGUGAAAUGCGCAGAUAUCGGGAGGAAUACCGGUGGCGAAGGCGGCUCGCUGGGCCGUUUCUGACGCUGAGGCGCGAAAGCUAAGGGAGCGAACCGGAUUAGAUACCCGUGUAGUCC
Molecule: ribosomal RNA, 447 nt
Filed under: uncultured prokaryote
Description: bacterial SSU rRNA
Rfam family: Bacterial small subunit ribosomal RNA
Source: RNAcentral